AUUGAACGCUGGCGGCAUGCUUUACACAUGCAAGUCGAACGGGCUUAGGGGCUUGCUCCUAAGUUAGUGGCGAACGGGUGAGUAAUGCAUCGGAACGUACCGUGUAGUGGGGGAUAACCCGGCGAAAGUCGGAUUAAUACCGCAUACGAUCUACGGAUGAAAGUGGGGGACCGCAAGGCCUCACGCUAUACGAGCGGCCGAUGUCGGAUUAGCUAGUUGGUAGGGUAAAGGCCUACCAAGGCAACGAUCCGUAGCGGGUUUGAGAGAACGACCAGCCACACUGGAACUGAGACACGGUCCAGACUCCUACGGGAGGCAGCAGUGGGGAAUUUUGGACAAUGGGGGCAACCCUGAUCCAGCAAUGCCGCGUGAGUGAAGAAGGCCUCGGUGUAAGCUCUUUGUUCAGGGAAGAAACGGUAGAGUUCUAAUAAAGACUUGCUAAUGACGGUACCUGAAGAAUAAGACACCGGCUAACUACGUAGCCAGCAGCCGCGGUAAU
This 499-nucleotide ribosomal RNA is filed under the name uncultured bacterium. RNAcentral describes it as "bacterial SSU rRNA". It matches the Rfam family "Bacterial small subunit ribosomal RNA", at positions 30 to 524 of the family's 1533-position model. The record is from RNAcentral.